This 506-nucleotide ribosomal RNA is filed under the name uncultured bacterium. RNAcentral's name for it is "partial 16S ribosomal RNA". It matches the Rfam family "Bacterial small subunit ribosomal RNA", at positions 27 to 507 of the family's 1533-position model. The record is from RNAcentral.
GGACGAACGCUGGCGGCGUGCCUAAUCCAUGCAAGUAGAACGCACAGUUUAUACCGUAGCUUGCUACACCAUAGACUGUGAGUUGCGAACGGGUGAGUAACGCGUAGUUAACCUGCCUGGUAGCGGGGGAUAACUAUUGGAAACGAUAGCUAAUACCGCAUAAUCUUAAUUAUUGCAUGAUAAUUAAUUGAAAGGUGCAAUUGCACCACUACCAGAUGGACCUGCGUUGUAUUAGCUAGUAGGUGAGGUAACGGCUCACCUAGGCGACGAUACAUAGCCGACCUGAGAGGGUGGUCGGCCACCAUGGGACUGAGACACGGCCCAGACGCCUACGGGAGGCAGCAGUAGGGAAUCUUCGGCAAUGGACGAAAGUCUGACCGAGCAACGCCGCGUGAGUGAAGAAGGGUGUCGGAUCAUAAAGCUCUGUUGUAAGGGAAGAACGGGUGUGAGAGUGGAAAGUUCACAGUGUGACGGUAGCUGAUCAGAAAGGGACGGCUAACUACGUG